CACGUAGUUAGCCGUGGCUUUCUGGUUAGGUACCGUCAAGGUACGAGCAGCUACUCUCGUACUUGUUCUUCCCUAACAACAGAGUUUUACGACCCGAAAGCCUUCAUCACUCACGCGGCGUUGCUCCGUCAGACUUUCGUCCAUUGCGGAAGAUUCCCUA
RNAcentral lists this ribosomal RNA (160 nucleotides) under uncultured bacterium. RNAcentral describes it as "partial 16S ribosomal RNA". The record is from RNAcentral.